GACGAACGCUGGCGGCGUGCUUAACACAUGCAAGUCGAGCGGUAAGGCCCUUUCGGGGUACGACGAGCGGCGAACGGGUGAGUAACACGUGGGUGACCUGCCUCUAGCUCUGGGAUAAGCCUGGGAAGCUGGGUCUAAUACCGGAUAUGACCUCGCGGUGCAUGUUGCGGGGUGGAAAGCCUUGUGCGGCUAGGGAUGGGCCCGCGGCCUAUCAGCUUGUUGGUGGGGUGANGGCCUACCAAGGCGACGACGGGUAGCCGGCCUGAGAGGGCGACCGGCCACACUGGGACUGAGACACGGCCCAGACUCCUACGGGAGGCAGCAGUGGGGAAUCUUGCGCAAUGGGCGAAAGCCUGACGCAGCGACGCCGCGUGAGGGAUGACGGCCUGGUGUAA
This 395-nucleotide ribosomal RNA is filed under the name uncultured bacterium. Its description in RNAcentral is "bacterial SSU rRNA". It matches the Rfam family "Bacterial small subunit ribosomal RNA", at positions 28 to 428 of the family's 1533-position model. The record is from RNAcentral.